ACAGGUUAAACAUUGAGGAGACAGAGAGGAGUCACAGUCCAGACGACCAACAGGUUAAACAUUGAAGAGACAGAGAGGAGUCACAGACCAGGCGACCAACAGGUUAAACAUUGAAGCGACAGAGAGGAGUCACAGUCCAGACGACCAACAGGUUAAACAUUGAGGAGACAGAGAGGAGUCACAGUCCAGACGACCAACAGGUUAAAACAUUGAGGAGACAGAGAGGAGUCACAGACCAGACGACCAACAGGUUAAACAUUGAGGAGACAGAGAGGAGUCACAGUCCAGACGACCAACAGGUUAAACAUUGAGGAGACAGAGAGGAGUCACAGACCAG
This 337-nucleotide long non-coding RNA is filed under the name Salmo salar (Atlantic salmon). RNAcentral's name for it is "lncRNA (ENSSSAG00000086727.1)". Lineage: Eukaryota; Metazoa; Chordata; Actinopteri; Salmoniformes; Salmonidae. The record is from RNAcentral.